Molecule: long non-coding RNA, 1811 nt
Filed under: Cricetulus griseus (Chinese hamster)
Lineage: Eukaryota; Metazoa; Chordata; Mammalia; Rodentia; Cricetidae
Description: lncRNA (ENSCGRG00015036369.1)
Source: RNAcentral
GGCUGCACCAAAGCAAGGUGUCAGCAGGGUGGUCAUGUGCUCAGUGGCACCUGCUGUUGUUUGCCUGUGCCUGAAGAUGGCACCCAGUGCCCAUGCUCCUAGUUUCCUCGCAUCCUGCAUCCAUCCCACCACAACCUCUGUUUGUGUGAACCAUGUGGGCGGGCCCUACUCUCAUGGAACUAGUAAUACAUGAGCCAAACACACUUCACCAAGGAGUUCUGCCUCAUUACUGACACCCAAAAUGUACCCAGAAGGCAUGGUGGUAUGCACCGUGCACUCCCCUAGGUAGGACCAAACUGCUGGCUUUAUGGGGAAGAAAGAAGUCACCUGGGCGCUCAGAGGCCAGAAGAGAGGAAAGUCAGGAAAAUGGUGACUGCCGGAAGACUGUGAUUAUGAUGGCAUCCAGGUGUGCUGGUACUGAGAAUGGAAAAUGACUAGAAGGAACAGAAGGAAGCCAGCUCUGCCCUCUGAGGAUUCUGUGCUGUUACAGUUGCCCACUUUUACCUGUGUGUUGCCACACAUGGGGCCAACCUAAGUCCUUUAUCCUUAGCUAGCUCACCCAGCCUAGCAUCAACUAGGUAAGGGGGUGUGACUCCUUCCGUCAGCUUUCAUCCAUUUGCUCAAGGACACAGUCAACAAGCAUGUGGUAGACGGAGGACCUGAAGCCAGGCUGCAGGCCCAGAGACACACUCAUCUCCUUCCUGUAUCCAGCCCCUUUGUUCAGAAGAAGAAGGUCGCUAUCAUCCAGGGACUGCCCUUCACAAAAUACAGAUCAGGAGCAUCUCCUCUUGGUUGUAUCUGUAUGUGGGGAGAACUCCCCAGAGCAAUCUCCCUAUGGAAUCUCAAGUUAGGCUCCAAGUCAUAGAAAGGCAGACUUGGAAGUUCAAGAAAAGUAUCAAGACCUGAAUUCUCAGUUACUCAAAGGAAUCUACAACCCUGUGGCUUAACUGCAAAGGAAACCUGGUGUGGACAGGUAUGCAGGCCAUCUGUGGUGCCAUGUGAUCGAAUCCAUGGCUUGCUUCCUAUUGGCUGUUUAACAGAGAACUAGAUGUACUUAGAAAAAGUGAAAAUGUCACACAUCUCAAGGAAGACUCAGUGCUGAUAUCCUUGCCCAGCCCCCCCCUAACAAUCCUCUAGUAAUGGCUGGGGCAGGUGACACUCCUUUGCGCUCUGAACAGUGAGCAGGUGGUAAGGAGUGAGACCAGGAUUGGUGGAGGGAAAAGGGCAGUUCUACAGAAGUUUGUGGGCUGUGGGCUCAUCACAUUAAAGAUUAAUGACCAACUGAUGUCGGGGGCCACAGUCUCCAGUGCUCCAGGCUUUCUGCCUGCUUCUACUUCUUGGCCUGUUAGCCAGACCAACUCCUCACACAGCAUCCUGCCAUCUGAGGACCACUGGAGUAGCUUGGCCGUGGCAUGUCCUGCUCUACACUUGCAGACUGGCCCCACCAGGCACGGGUUCUGUCCUAAUUUGCUUUCUGUUGCUGUAAUAAAGCAUUAAGACCAAAAGCAUUGUGGAGAGGAAAGAGUUUUUAUUUGGUUCUAAUCACAGUCCAUCAUUGAGGAAAGUCAAGGCAGGAACUCGAGGCAAGAACCGAAGUAGAGCAUGGAGGAGUGCUGUUUACCAGCUUGAUCUCCAGGCUCACUCAGCUUGCUUUCUUAUACCUCCCAGGACUACCUGCUCUGGGACAGUAUUACCCACAGUGGGCUGGACUCCCACAUCAAUUAUUAAUCAAGAAAAUGUUCCCUAGCCAUGCCUUUAGGCCAGUCUGUUGGUGGCAUUUUCUCAAUUAAGAUUCCCUCUUCCCAGAUGAC